Molecule: long non-coding RNA, 433 nt
Organism: Melanotaenia boesemani (Boeseman's rainbowfish)
Lineage: Eukaryota; Metazoa; Chordata; Actinopteri; Atheriniformes; Melanotaeniidae
Exons: 3
Source: RefSeq, a predicted model, not a curated record
UUCCUGGUAGUCUCCAUACAAGCCAUCUGUGUUACUCCACCAACAGAUGUGUGGGAGUAUGGGAAUGGGAAGGUUUUAACAGACGCUGCGAACCCACUGCUGACACCAGGGCUCUCGUGUGGGACGAAUUUUUAAGAGGAUUGGCCAGGUGUGCCCUGUUGGGUACAGAACCUUCCGGAUGGCGAGCUAGAUGCAAGAGCCUGAACCCUGUAACACACCCUCUGCAAUCUGGUAGGGGGCCGUUUGCAAGCCAGCCCACUCCCAUCUUUAUUUCUUUUGCCCUGCUCACCGCUCACAUCCACACCAGUUGAAUAGCGCGUAUAUGGACAUUUAUUCAAUUUUCAUGGACUCGGUUUAUUAUUGGACAACUCCUACAUACUGCAUUGUGAAAGGUGAACAGAAUGAUUGUGACCUAACUUGGUGAAAUUGAUGG